GGACCUUUAGCUCAGCUGGUUAGAGCAGGCGGCUCAUAAUAGGUUCGAAUCCUGCAAGGUCCA
RNAcentral lists this transfer RNA (63 nucleotides) under Bacillus cereus. RNAcentral's name for it is "tRNA-Ser". It matches the Rfam family "tRNA". Rfam says of the family: Transfer RNA (tRNA) molecules are approximately 80 nucleotides in length. Lineage: Bacteria; Bacillati; Bacillota; Bacilli; Caryophanales; Bacillaceae. The record is from RNAcentral.